RNAcentral lists this ribosomal RNA (200 nucleotides) under uncultured bacterium. Its description in RNAcentral is "partial 16S ribosomal RNA". It matches the Rfam family "Bacterial small subunit ribosomal RNA", at positions 29 to 258 of the family's 1533-position model. The record is from RNAcentral.
AACGAACGCUGGCGGCAGGCUUAACACAUGCAAGUCGAGCGCCCCGCAAGGGGAGCGGCAGACGGGUGAGUAACGCGUGGGAAUCUACCCAUCUCUACGGAACAACUCCGGGAAACUGGAGCUAAUACCGUAUACGCCCUUCGGGGGAAAGAUUUAUCGGAGAUGGAUGAGCCCGCGUUGGAUUAGCUAGUUGGUGGGGU